RNAcentral lists this ribosomal RNA (488 nucleotides) under uncultured bacterium. RNAcentral describes it as "bacterial SSU rRNA". It matches the Rfam family "Bacterial small subunit ribosomal RNA", at positions 15 to 507 of the family's 1533-position model. The record is from RNAcentral.
GAUCAUGGCUCAGAUUGAACGCUGGCGGCAUGCCUUACACAUGCAAGUCGAACGGGGGUAGCAAUACCCUAGUGGCGAACGGGUGAGUAAAGCAUCGGAACGUACCCAGUUGUGGGGAUAACGUAGCGAAAGUUACGCUAAUACCGCAUACGCACUGAGGUGGAAAGCGGGGGACCUUUGGGCCUCGCGCAAUUGGAGCGGCCGAUGUCGGAUUAGCUAGUUGGUGAGGUAAAAGCUCACCAAGGCGACGAUCCGUAGCUGGGUCUGAGAGGAUGAUCAGCCACACUGGGACUGAGACACGGCCCAGACUCCUACGGGAGGCAGCAGUGGGGAAUUUUGGACAAUGGGCGAAAGCCUGAUCCAGCCAUGCCGCGUGAGUGAAGAAGGCCUUCGGGUUGUAAAGCUCUUUCAGACGGAAAGAAAAUUGCCUGGGUGAAUAUCCCGGGUAGAUGACGGUACCGUAAGAAGAAGCACCGGCUAACUACGUG